This is a long non-coding RNA of Catharus ustulatus (Swainson's thrush), 2648 nucleotides long. RefSeq lists it as uncharacterized. The record is from RefSeq and is a predicted model, not a curated record. The transcript has 4 exons. Lineage: Eukaryota; Metazoa; Chordata; Aves; Passeriformes; Turdidae.
UCACGUACUUUAUUUGCCUCUCAUCUAGGAGUAAUAUUCUCAGGGUUUAACCAAUAUGCUUUUAAGAAAGUAGUUUUGUAGAUUUAUGUAAGCUUGAUGUGUAAGCCUAGAGCUAUCUAGUUAUGGUCUCCAUUGUAAAAGAACCCUAAAUUCAAUAGCAUCUAAAAGACUGCAGCUAGAACACUGAAGUGCAUGCAAAAAGGGGAAAAAAGAUCUGGCUGUCACAUGCUCUCUGAACCAGCCUACUGACCUAUCCAUAUUGCAAGUCAACAUCCUGUAUCACCCUGUGUAUUUAUGUAUUUUUGGGACCUGAGGGUUUCAGCACUGAUAGAAGAUGACAGUCCAAAGGGAGAACCUAUCAGACCGUGUUAGCAUGACUAUUUGUGUGUUUAUGCACUGCGAUUCAGAUGAAUUUUCCUGUUUACUAGGAAUGCAAAUUCCAAUGCUACCUCCUAGAAAGGCCACUAUUUAAAUAAAUGGAAGGUUCGUCAAACAAACGUGGCCAUGUAAUGUAUCAAGAGUAACAUUUGCCUCAAUCUCUGAGUUGUUUAUUUUUGGCAUGUCAAAACUGGUUUGUACACAAUGCAGAAAUUUAAUUUUGAACAAAGGCCAAGUGAUUUAGUGUGAACAUGCCAUUUGGAUGAAGCCUGGAAUUGCUACUAACUGCUUUGGUUUCUUCCCUUUCCUGUGUAUUGUUUCCAACAAUCCUUGGAUGGCUGCACCCCUAUCAGUGCCUGAGACAUACACGAGCUCUUUAUCUUCUGGGCUUCUACGAGGGGAAGACACUUUUCGCAAAGAAACAACUUUUUUUUGACUGAUCCCAGUUCCAUUAAUGACCUUGCCUUCUGCUGAGAGAUUUGCUUAUUUAGCACAUGGUUGUUCUCUCCUUGCUGCUUGCAAACACCUCUGGUUUUCUGCUGAGCAUGGGAAGUUUGACUACAAGCCCACCUGGACUGUCAUGAACUAUCCGCUUAGCUCAUGAGCUGCACAGCCUCUGCACUGCCACCUGCUUGCUGCCCCUGGCCGUACACCGAACAAGACACAGCACAAACACCUGUCCCUCCAGAAUGAGCCUCUCAAACAGUACCACUCCACCAGCAGACCCUUCUUACAAGCUCACCUAACACCUGCACCCACAACCCACCAUCCAAGCACCUUGGGAAUAUUCAUUUUGCUUCCAUCUGCACUGUUCUCACGGUAACUUUGCCCCUGCAAGCAACAUUCCCCUCCAUGAGUCAACAUGGCCCCUGCAAGGUUUACAAGCUCUCCAGAACCCUCCUCAGCUCCAUUAUCACUCGUUUCAUGAAUGCUGCCACAUGCCAGUGCCUUCCACACUGCCCUGACAACAAAUUGAGAAAUACAGCAGUGAUCUGAGGCAAAGCUUCCAGUUCUUCUGUCCUCCAAAGCACAGGUCCCUUUCUUGCAAAGUUGACAGCCUGUGUGAACUCCUGCUGCCCCAACCACCCAAUGCAUAGCUUGUGAGUGCUGCCACAACGCUGACAUAGCAAAUUGAAGCCCAGCAAACUUAUCAGCCACUUUUAAACAAAGCUAUUUCGUCAUGCACACCAUCAAGUACGUUUUCCUGAGAGAACUCCCUGGAUAUAGCUCACCAUACACUAUACACCAUGUAAAUGGUCCCUUGUACAAAUUAAAUCUUAGCAUGGGCAAAAGUCUGGGAUAAGGCUCUCACAGCCCCUUCAUCAUCAGAUCUCUCAAGGCUAUGAGCCCACAAGUCCCUCCAUUUACCUGACCUCGCACUGUUGAUACCGGGAGCUCUCAUCAUCCCCACUACCCUCACAGCACCUGGAAUUUCAUCCCUCCCAGGCUGAGCUCCCCCUGCCCAAAUUAGUCUCUUCUCACAAGGCUACGAAAAAAAAAAGUGUCAGAAUUUUAACUUCCUCUUGGCACGAGUAUGUUUAUUCUCACAACAAAUGGAAACAUAGAAAACGUAUCUAUUGUUUCAGGACGUGAAUGUGGCCACCGCUGCCUGCUUAAGUCUCUGACAUUUCCACCCCUGAGCUGCCUGUGCACCCAGCAGACACCCGGCACAGCAGCCCCCGCUCCAGACGGGGCUCCAGGCUAUCCCGGGCACUCCUGCAGGCAGAUCCCUUUGCAACCAGCCUUACGGCCUUGAGCUGAGACCGCAAAGGCUCAGAUUAGAUAUCGGGAAAUAUUUCACUCUCAGGGUGGUCAGGCAUUGGAACAGCUGCCCAGGAGGUGGUGGAGUCCCCAUCCCUGGAGGUGCAACAAGAAGUGUCCGAGUCUGGUGCUGGGUGAUGCGGUUUAGUGGAUUAGGGAUUACAGUGGCAAGUGCCGGGUGGAUGGUCGGACUGGACGAUUUUAAAAGGUCUCUUCCAAUCUUCAUGGUUCCAUGAUUGUAUCCAUGCAGCACUUAGAGAGACUAGACACGCGGCGGCACCUUGCAGAUGAGCGUCUCCCGCUCUCCGUGCCACCAAAUCCACACUCCCAGGAACGUGAGCUCCGCAAGGCACCUCCUGACCCCGCACCCCUCCGGCCCACGGCUGCCGUCACACCGGGCACGGCGCCCCGAAGCGAGGCGUCCCACCGGGCCGCGAUCCUGCCCGAGGCUGGGCGCUAUCGCGGUUAAGCCGAGCCUGGGGCAGUCCCCGCGGCUGUGGCUCCGCACG